GAUGAACGCUGACAGAAUGCUUAACACAUGCAAGUCAUUGGCGAAGCUGCGCUUGCGCAGUCUAGCCAAGGCGGACGGGUGAGUAACGCGUAAGGAACUUGCCCUGCAGACAGGGAUAACAGACGGAAACGACUGAUAACACCUGGUAUUGUCAGGCUGGCGCAUGCCGGCCUGAUGAAAGGAGACGCUGCAGGAGAGCCUUGCGUCCUAUUAGCUAGUUGGUGGGGUAACGGCCCACCAAGGCGAUGAUAGGUAGCCGGCCUGAGAGGGUGAACGGCCACAAGGGGACUGAGAUACGGCCCUGACUCCUACGGGAGGCAGCAGUGGGGAAUAUUGGACAAUGGGGGCAACCCUGAUCCAGCAAUUCUGUGUGCACGAAGAAGGUUUUCGGAGUGUAAAGUGCUUUCAGCAGGGAAGAAGAAAGUGACGGUACCUGCAGAAGAAGCGACGGCUAAAUACGUG
RNAcentral lists this ribosomal RNA (462 nucleotides) under uncultured bacterium. RNAcentral's name for it is "partial 16S ribosomal RNA". It matches the Rfam family "Bacterial small subunit ribosomal RNA", at positions 28 to 507 of the family's 1533-position model. The record is from RNAcentral.